AUUCAUUAUAAGCUAAGUAUUUCGAUAUAAUCAACCAAAGCAUUCAACAAGAUGUCGGACAUCUGUCCUCCCGGAAAAAAGGAAUGGCCAGAACUGGUGGGUAUAGAAUAUUCUAUCGCUGCUAGGAUAAUAGAAAGGGAGAAUCCUCAUGUCAAAGCACAAAAGAUUAUCGCGGGGAGUCCGAGAAUUAUGAAUUACAAUCCUGGACGAGUUUGGGUUGAUGUCAAUGUUGAGAAUAAGUGUGUUUUAAUUCCUAAAGCAGGUUAAGGGAUGUAAUAUGAUAAAAUAUAUGAAAUUACUAAUAAAGUAGUGUGUGACUACCGUUUUAAUUA
Non-coding RNA from Cucurbita pepo subsp. pepo (vegetable marrow), 332 nucleotides. Lineage: Eukaryota; Viridiplantae; Streptophyta; Magnoliopsida; Cucurbitales; Cucurbitaceae. The record is from RefSeq and is a predicted model, not a curated record.